GGCUCCAUAGUGUAAUGGUUAGCACAUCUGCUUUUCACGCAGAAGGUCCUGGGUUCAGCGCCCCAGGUGGAGCCA
RNAcentral lists this transfer RNA (75 nucleotides) under Pteropus alecto (black flying fox). It matches the Rfam family "tRNA". From Rfam's summary of the family: Transfer RNA (tRNA) molecules are approximately 80 nucleotides in length. RNAcentral also lists the same sequence under 1 other name. The record is from Rfam by way of RNAcentral. Lineage: Eukaryota; Metazoa; Chordata; Mammalia; Chiroptera; Pteropodidae.